RNAcentral lists this ribosomal RNA (253 nucleotides) under uncultured bacterium. Its description in RNAcentral is "partial 16S ribosomal RNA". It matches the Rfam family "Bacterial small subunit ribosomal RNA", at positions 524 to 776 of the family's 1533-position model. The record is from RNAcentral.
UACGGAGGGUGCGAGCGUUGUCCGGAAUCACUGGGCGUAAAGGGCGCGUAGGCGGCCUGAUAAGUAGGGGGUGAAAUCCUGCGGCUUAACCGCAGGGCUGCCUUCUAAACUGUCAGGCUAGAGCACAGUAGAGGCAGGUGGAAUUCCCGGUGUAGCGGUGGAAUGUGUAGAGAUCGGGAAGAACAUCAGUGGCGAAGGCGGCCUGCUGGGCUGUUGCUGACGCUGAGGCGCGACAGCGUGGGGAGCAAACAGG